RNAcentral lists this long non-coding RNA (677 nucleotides) under Medicago truncatula (barrel medic). RNAcentral describes it as "long non-coding RNA (MTRU_LNC008493)". Lineage: Eukaryota; Viridiplantae; Streptophyta; Magnoliopsida; Fabales; Fabaceae. The record is from RNAcentral.
AGAGAAAUGCUAAUAACAAUUGCUCAAACACUCUCUUUUGAGCACUUGCCCAACCAUUGGGCCACGUCACUUAAAAAAAAUAAAAAAAAAUUUUCUACAAACCUGUUAACCGGCUAUGCUGGUUUAGAAAAUUGAUUUCUAUUCACUGGGUUUUUCAAGCACAACCCCAAAUCUCAAGAAGACAACAACUAAAAGGAAACAUGUUGCUCUGCUUCACGUAUUACACAGUCAGUUUUUUUUUUUUUGUUGCUUUCUUCACCUUAUCUCAUGAAUCAACAUCAACUACCCUACGCCCUAACUGGCCAAAGAAGGGAUAUAUUAUUCAUGAAAUUCAUGUAAUCUUCAAAAAUAUUGGUUUAAGAAACCAUAGAGAAUGUUGCAGUAACGUUCAGUUUAUGUAAUUGUUUCUGAAAAUAGCAAACAUAUAUUAUGUCAUCAUCUACAUCUGUAAAAUUCAAUAUAAAUGCUACAUGAAAAAAAAAGUUAGAAUGAAAAGGACCAAUUUUUAUUGAGAAAUCAUUUAAGGAAGGGGAAAGGGGCGGUAUUGUAUGAGGCAAUUGAUGGGUGAGGUUGAAGGAUACUGACGGCGGUGUUAAUCUUCAGUUUAAGAGAGAUAAAGAGAUGACGUAAAAGGGGAAAAAGGAUGAACAGGUAGCCAAUUGCACUGUUUAAGAAAG